CUGGCUGCCCGGGAGCCUUCAGGGUGGGCUCUGGGGGCCAGGUGCGGCCUCAGCGCCGUCCCUUCCCGGGAAGCCUCCUCCCUGGGGUCCACGCCGGCUCCUGCUGGCUCCCCCAUUCCGCUGAAAUCUGAGGAAAAGGCUCUGGGAACGCAGCCAGACUCCCCCACAGCUCAGACGGCUGUAAAGAAAUAUUCCUGCCAGAUGUUCAGAGGCGGAGGCCAGCAUGAGUUCCCAGAACCAGAGCUUCUAUGGCGGAUUCUCACCAGAAAAUGAAAUUCUCAGCUUACAGGCAAC
Molecule: long non-coding RNA, 294 nt
Filed under: Homo sapiens (human)
Lineage: Eukaryota; Metazoa; Chordata; Mammalia; Primates; Hominidae
Description: non-protein coding lnc-COL6A1-1:2
Source: RNAcentral